RNAcentral lists this long non-coding RNA (468 nucleotides) under Phoenix dactylifera (date palm). RNAcentral's name for it is "long non-coding RNA (PDAC_LNC008382)". The record is from RNAcentral. Lineage: Eukaryota; Viridiplantae; Streptophyta; Magnoliopsida; Arecales; Arecaceae.
AUACCCACAAACUUCCAUAAAUCAUUUAUUAUUAUUGUUAUUAUUAUUUUUUUAUUUAUUAUUUUAUUAUUAUUAUUUUAUUAUUAUUAUUUUUUGUUUUUUUUAUUAUUUUUAUUUAUUUAUUUAUUUAGUUCGAUUGAUCUAUGAAGUGAAAAUCAAAUUCUAAAUGCAUACUAGCUAAGAUUUUCAAAAACUUUUUAUUAUUAUUAUUAUUAUUGUUAAAAUCUAAUUUAAGAUACAUAAAUGAUAAGAGUUUCAAAGCACACACGGAUUUUAUUUACUAAGUCAGCUCAAAUUCUAGGUUAGUAUGCAAUCUAAGUUAAAGUCAUUAAGCUUCCAUUUAGGGAGUUGUAAGACUCAUUUAUACUAGAGUGCUCGGUGAAAUCUGGACCGUACACAAGCUAAGGGUUUCGAUCUCCAAAAUAUUGCAAAGACUAAUAGUUUCCAAUGAUUGGUCGAAGGAACCUA